RNAcentral lists this ribosomal RNA (439 nucleotides) under uncultured bacterium. Its description in RNAcentral is "partial 16S ribosomal RNA". It matches the Rfam family "Bacterial small subunit ribosomal RNA", at positions 338 to 795 of the family's 1533-position model. The record is from RNAcentral.
CCUACGGGGGGCUGCAGUGGGGGAUAUUGCACAAUGGAGGAAACUCUGAUGCAGCGACGCCGCGUGAGGGAAGACGGUCUUCGGAUUGUAAACCUCUGUCUUUGGGGAAGAAAAUGACGGUACCCAAAGAGGAAGCUCCGGCAAACAACGUGCCAGCAGCCGCGGUAAUACGUAGGGAGCGAGCGUUUUCCGGAAUUACUGGUGGUAAGGGGAGCGUAGGCGGGCGAUAAAGCUGAAUGUAAAAUCUACCGGCUUAACUGGGAGCUGCGUUUAAAACUUCUUGUAUUGAGUGAAGGAGAGGCAGGCGGAAUUCCUAGUGUAGCGGUGAAAUGCGUAGAUAUUAGGAGGAACACCAGUGGCGAAGGCGGCCUGCUGGGCUUUAACUGACGCUGAGGCUCGAAAGCGUGGGGAGCAAACAGGAUUAGAUACCCGGGUAGUC